GGAGUUGUAGUUCAACAACAUCUGGGGACCCACAGGUUGAGAAAAGCUGGGUUAGAGCAUGGUGCUGAUAACGCCAAGGUUGCAGGUUCGAUCCCCGUAUGGGACAACUGCG
Podarcis lilfordi (Lilford's wall lizard) is the source of this 112-nucleotide non-coding RNA. The record is from the annotation of a GenBank genome assembly. Lineage: Eukaryota; Metazoa; Chordata; Lepidosauria; Squamata; Lacertidae.